UGCUUUAUGUACAUUCAUAUAAAGUAAUCUCCUGCCCAGUGAAAUUAUUCAACGGCCGCGGUAUCCUAACCGUGCAAAGGUAGCAUAAUAACUUGCCUAUUAAUUGUAGGCUAGAAUGAACGGGGUCACGAAAUAAGAACUUUCUUUUUUAUAUAAAUAUAAACUAAUAUUUAAGUGAAGAAGCUUAAAUUAAAUAAAAGGACAAGAAGACCCUAUAGAGCUUAAAUUAUAACAUAUACUAUAUUUAAAAAUUUCGGUUGGGGCAACCACGGAGCAAAUCAUCCAGUAAUAUAAGAUUUACAAAUCAAAUUAAUGAUCCUAUAUUAGAUCACAGGAAUAAGCUACCUUAGGGAUAACAGGCUAAUCCUAUUAUAGAGUCCUUAUCAACAAUAGGGAUUGGCACCUCGAUGUUGGCUUAGAGAAUCUAUGUGACGCAGCAGUCACAAAAAGAAAGUUUGUUCAACUUAUAAUUCUC
RNAcentral lists this ribosomal RNA (475 nucleotides) under Fridericia nemoralis. RNAcentral's name for it is "partial 16S ribosomal RNA". It matches the Rfam family "Bacterial large subunit ribosomal RNA", at positions 1817 to 2596 of the family's 2925-position model. The record is from RNAcentral. Lineage: Eukaryota; Metazoa; Annelida; Clitellata; Enchytraeida; Enchytraeidae.